AUGGAGCGCAACCCCAGGACACCGGCUCCCCGGGUGUACACGGAGGUCCCGCCGGAAACAACAUUCGUGCGUGCGACCACGUCGACGUUCAAGGAGGUGGUGCAGCGUCUCACCGGCCAGCCGGCGGCCGCAAAUACCGUCGCCCAUCGCUAUGGUGCCACCGUGCAGCAGCCACCGCCGCCACCGGUGCCACUCGCGGCAGGCAUCGUGUCGCCAUAUACGCACCCGCUACCACUGUUGUCGGACAUGCCGGGCCUGUGCAUCGCCAACAAGGCGGUGAAGGUGAACACACUGUUCCCGAUGACAUCGGCGUCAAUGCUCGCUGAGGACAUGGAGAUGGUGGACGCUGAAGAGGAGAAGGCCGUCAAGGAGGGUAGGUUCUACCUGCUUCCGUCGGGAAGGUGCCGCUGCUGCCACGGCGAGCCGAAACUGCUUCCCUUGUUUCCAGGAGCGGAGUAG
Molecule: ribosomal RNA, 459 nt
Filed under: Triticum aestivum (bread wheat)
Lineage: Eukaryota; Viridiplantae; Streptophyta; Magnoliopsida; Poales; Poaceae
Description: partial small subunit ribosomal RNA
Source: RNAcentral